This 73-nucleotide transfer RNA is filed under the name Galerina marginata CBS 339.88. RNAcentral describes it as "tRNA-Tyr (GTA) (tRNA-Tyr-GTA-3-1)". It matches the Rfam family "tRNA". From Rfam's summary of the family: Transfer RNA (tRNA) molecules are approximately 80 nucleotides in length. Lineage: Eukaryota; Fungi; Basidiomycota; Agaricomycetes; Agaricales; Galerinaceae. The record is from RNAcentral.
CCUUCGAUAGCUCAGCUGGAAGAGCGUGGGACUGUAAAUCCCGAGGCCAUCGGUUCGAUCCCGAUUCGAAGGA